CUUACUUUUCAACUAACUACUGUGGAGAAGAAGAUUUGAAAAUCCAAACAAUCUACACUCGGUGUUUACUAGAAAAAAGAAAAGAGUGACAGUUUGCCACUUGAUCACAAAAUAAUGAUGAUGAAGUUUUGAUU
Non-coding RNA from Caenorhabditis elegans, 134 nucleotides. The record is from Ensembl. NCBI's taxonomy places the organism in Eukaryota, Metazoa, Nematoda, Chromadorea, Rhabditida, Rhabditidae.